Long non-coding RNA from Oncorhynchus tshawytscha (Chinook salmon), 759 nucleotides. The record is from Ensembl. NCBI's taxonomy places the organism in Eukaryota, Metazoa, Chordata, Actinopteri, Salmoniformes, Salmonidae.
GGAAGAAGCAGAGGAGAUGAUCUGGACAGGUGUUCUGGCUGAAUCACGAACAUGUAGGCCGGUAAAACAAAGACAGACAGAGUCCAUAGAAGAGGAUAUAAUACAUACGUGUUUUAUUUUGAUUUGCGGACCCUGACUAUGAGGACAUCAAAUUCGAAAUAGACAAGGAGGAGGAAGAGGAGAACAAUAAGCGAGGAAGGAAGGACAAGAAAAGCCUGAAAGAGGAGAAGAGAGCGUGCAAGGAGGAGAGGUGGCCCUCGCUUAUGGAAACUCUGGAGUUCGACUAGUCCAUAUAAGGGCGGAUCCCCUGUAGCUCUGCCCCCUCCGGUACUGGAGGACCAACCUGAUGAAGAGAAGCACAUAAUGGAGAAGAUCCAGCUGGCCAAUCGGCAGCUGCGGGAUCAGAAAACACCGGACAUGACUCUGCGCCGACGCCUUCACUUCAAAGAAACGCUGGUGGAUCUGGUGAUGUCCCCGCUGAAGUAUAGUGAGAGCGACAGUGGCGCCACCCACAGGACAGAGGUGGUAGAACAGGAGUGCCACAGCCUGAUCAACGGCAAGGACAUGGAGAGGACCGUAGCCCUAGGACCAUGCCUCAGGACUACCUGGCAUGAUGACUCCUUGCUGUCCCCAGUCCACCUGGCUGUGCUGCUGCUCCAGUUAGAACUGUUCAGCCUGCGGCUAUGAAACCCUGACCUGUUCACUGUGAUUACUAUUAUUUGACCAUGCUGGUCAUUUAUGAACAUUUUGGCCAUGUUC